This 529-nucleotide ribosomal RNA is filed under the name uncultured bacterium. RNAcentral describes it as "partial 16S ribosomal RNA". It matches the Rfam family "Bacterial small subunit ribosomal RNA", at positions 355 to 873 of the family's 1533-position model. The record is from RNAcentral.
UGGGGAAUAUUGCACAAUGGGCGCAAGCCUGAUGCAGCCAUGCCGCGUGUGUGAAGAAGGCCUUCGGGUUGUAAAGCACUUUCAGCGAGGAGGAAGGUGGUGAGCUUAAUACGCUCAUCAAUUGACGUUACUCGCAGAAGAAGCACCGGCUAACUCCGUGCCAGCAGCCGCGGUAAUACGGAGGGUGCAAGCGUUAAUCGGAAUUACUGGGCGUAAAGCGCACGCAGGCGGUUUGUUAAGUCAGAUGUGAAAUCCCCGGGCUCAACCUGGGAACUGCAUUUGAAACUGGCAAGCUAGAGUCUCGUAGAGGGGGGUAGAAUUCCAGGUGUAGCGGUGAAAUGCGUAGAGAUCUGGAGGAAUACCGGUGGCGAAGGCGGCCCCCUGGACGAAGACUGACGCUCAGGUGCGAAAGGCGUGGGGCAGCAAACAGGAUUAGAUACCCUGGUAGUCCACGCUGUAAACGAUGUCGAUUUUGGAGGUUGUGCCCUUGAGGCGUGGCUUCCGGAGCUAACGCGUUAAAUCGACCGCC